GGGUGAUGGGAGCGGGGGAGUAGAGAGGGAGAGAGGAGCUGGAUAUGAGACUCUACUAGACACUACUCCACUGGCUCCACACCAGAUCACCUGCCUAGAGAAGCGGGUGGUGGCGCUGCAGGCUGAACUGCAGUCUCUCUCUGAGGAGAACCAGAGACAGGCUGAGGAGCUGGCAGUGUGGAGGCUGACGGCCCAGACCCCCUGUCUGGACCCAGAGGACCCCAUCGCUGCUACCCUCAGCCCUGCUCCCCUCAGCCCUGUACACAACACUGCUCCCCUCAGCCCUGGACACAACACUGUGACUGUGAUCAGGGAGGAUGAGCUGCUUCUCUCCUGCACCUCCAAUAGACUCUAUGGGAGGACCCUGGCCUCAAGGUUUUGCUGACAUCCCCAGUGGUCCAGCCUGUCCGUACAUCGUGAGGAGGUGGCUCCUGGGUACUGAUCCUGGCCAGAGGGAGGGGGGGCAGGAGGACCCUGAUUAACCCCCAACAGAUCCACUGGGAGACCGUCAGAGAGAGUCCAUUUCACUGGACCUACUGCAUACCACCUGAUGUACUGACCCUUGGUACUGGAACAUAGAGAUCAAACAAAACUCUUUUCAUCUCUGUCUACUGAAACACCUAGACCUGAAGAGGGACAACAACUUUCACCUACUGACGUUUCAGAAGAGGCCUUUCAUUGAGUUUAACCACAGCUCAUUGGUUUCUCAUCACCCACUAUAGUACUGUUCUUAACAAAUCUGUUUAACCACGGCUCAUUGGUUUCUCAGCACCCACUACAGUACUGUUCUUAACAAAUCUGUUUAACCACGGCUCAUUGGUUUCUCAGCACCCACUACAGUACUGUUCUUAACAAAUCUGUUUAACCACGGCUCAUUGGUUUCUCAGCACCCACUACAGUACUGUUCUUAACAAAUCUGUUUAACCACGGCUCAUUGGUUUCUCAGCACCCACUACAGUACUGUUCUUAACAAAUCUGUUUAACCACGGCUCAUUGGUUUCUCAUCACCCACUACAGUACUGUUCUUAACAAAUCUGUUUAACCACGGCUCAUUGGUUUCUCAGCACCCACUACAGUACUGUUCUUAACAAAUCUGUUUAACCACGGCUCAUUGGUUUCUCAGCACCCACUACAGUACUGUUCUUAACAAAUCUGUUUAACCACGGCUCAUUGGUUUCUCAGCACCCACUACAGUACUGUUCUUAACAAAUCUGUUUAACCACGGCUCAUUGGUUUCUCAGCACCCACUACAGUACUGUUCUUAACAAAUCUGUUUAACCACGGCUCAUUGGUUUCUCAGCACCCACUACAGUACUGUUCUUAACAAAUCUGUUUAACCACGGCUCAUUGGUUUCUCAGCACCCACUACAGUACUGUUCUUAACAAAUCUGUUUAACCACGGCUCAUUGGUUUCUCAGCACCCACUACAGUACUGUUCUUAACAAAUCUGUUUAACCACGGCUCAUUGGUUUCUCAGCACCCACUACAGUACUGUUCUUAACAAAUCUGUUUAACCACGGCUCAUUGGUUUCUCAGCACCCACUACAGUACUGUUCUUAACAAAUCUACUGAUAAAGAUUUCAUUGAUGUGCUGUUAAUUAGAAAUUGUGCUUGACGCCAAGGUUAUGAUUUAUCGUAUGGGUUAGGCCAUGGUCAGUGGUAAGUUGUAAAAACUAAAACUACUGUUUGAGUUGCCUUAUUUAUAGACUUUUGAAUGUGUCAGUGUGUGUGUUCAUAUCGGCUUUUAUAAGCAGUUGGUGUACAUUUUUAGGGAGUAUGUGUGUUGGUUUGUACAAAACUGUGUGUACAAGGCUGAGUACGUACUGCAUGUGUAGGAUGAUGUGUGGGUCGUUAUGUUUCCUCAAUGUUAGCGUGUGCCUGUGUAUGACUCAACCUAACCUGAGCUUGUUUCCUCUCCUUGUAUGGCGAUCCACUGGGAGCGCUCCCUCUCUUCCCCUCCCUCUCUUCCCCUCCCUUUCUUCCUCCCCUUUUCUUUCCUUCCACUUAGAAACGUUUUAAAACUCGCACCCUCACACCGUGUUAAGUUUACGCAAGUGCCAGACACUUAUGAGGGCUAUUUUCUUCUGUUGAUACGCUUUAUUUAAAUUGUGCAGUUUUAGUCUUUAAAAUAAAAUAUGUUUUUGUUUUUUGUAGAUUUAAUAUAUUUGAACUUUUUGAGAUAUUUUUGCCCACGUUAAUUAUUGUGCCUAAGAUUUGUGCCUUAGGCUUCUAGAUUUUCAGUUGGAACAAACUGCCCUGGUUUGAAACAAUAUUCAGUUAAGAGAUUGUAUAUCAGAACAAUUUAUAGCAAAUGUAGUUCUGGUACUGCCACCCUCGAUGUGCUUUGAGGAAGUGUGCACUUGUAUAUGUGAGUGUUUAGUGUGAAUGAAACCUUCCUCCAUUACAAAUCCACUAUACUCCAACCACCUUUCAGAGCUGAGGUUUAUUACAGUGUUACUUAGAUCAAUCUGAGUUGUCAUUUGUUUUUGUUGUGGUCUAAAAAUCUCUCAACCACUCCUAUUUGUUUUUAACACAGCUAAAUAAAUU
Molecule: long non-coding RNA, 2547 nt
Organism: Salvelinus namaycush (lake trout)
Lineage: Eukaryota; Metazoa; Chordata; Actinopteri; Salmoniformes; Salmonidae
Exons: 4
Source: RefSeq, a predicted model, not a curated record